GCACUGCUGAGGAGUCCCACAAUAGGACGAAACGACCGUCCGAUGC
This 46-nucleotide non-coding RNA is filed under the name Schistosoma margrebowiei. Lineage: Eukaryota; Metazoa; Platyhelminthes; Trematoda; Strigeidida; Schistosomatidae. The record is from RNAcentral.